CAGGGACCCAGGAGGCCUCACCCUUGGACCCCUCCUCCAUCAGACACAGGCGUCUAGGCUUCCAGUUGACAGUCAGAAUCCCAAGCAUCUUCUCCCUCCUCUUAAACCUGCAAUGAACACACACACAAUGGAAUUUCUACUUUUUUAUUCACUCCUCCAAAAAGCACCACAGGUCAACCCACCCUUGAGUCUCCAGGCUUCAUGGUUCCUCAUCUCAAUGGACACAAGUCUAUCAUAGUCCAGACAAGUAGGAAAUUCAUCUAAGUUGAUGAGGCUCUGUUCCUCCUCUGCUUCUGGCGAUGGCAACACCAAGAUUCAUCAUAGGUUUUCUAGAAUUUCUGCCCUCAAGGACCUGCCAGCCUGCAGGUGCCAUGUAGACUCACCCCAAAGGCUGCCAGUUGUCGCUCCACAAGUGAGUCUUCAGUCUUUUCUGUUUGGAUGUGCCCAGAGACCGACGCCUCGCUGGCAGCUUCCACAGAGACCGAUGCCUCGCUGGCAGCUUCCCGCUUCCAGAGCCUAAAUUUCAAUCCCUUUAAAAGUCAUGACUUAAAAGGCAACCACUCCCAAAAGACAGUCGUUGACCCCCAA
Molecule: long non-coding RNA, 588 nt
Filed under: Capra hircus (goat)
Lineage: Eukaryota; Metazoa; Chordata; Mammalia; Artiodactyla; Bovidae
Description: lncRNA (ENSCHIG00010019881.1)
Source: RNAcentral